Molecule: ribosomal RNA, 253 nt
Filed under: uncultured bacterium
Lineage: Bacteria
Description: partial 16S ribosomal RNA
Rfam family: Bacterial small subunit ribosomal RNA
Source: RNAcentral
UACAGAGGGGGCAAGCGUUGUUCGGAAUUACUGGGCGUAAAGGGCGCGUAGGCGGCCUGCUAAGUCGGACGUGAAAUCCCUCGGCUUAACCGGGGAACUGCGUCCGAUACUGGAUGGCUUGAGUUUGGGAGAGGGAUGCGGAAUUCCAGGUGUAGCGGUGAAAUGCGUAGAUAUCUGGAGGAACACCGGUGGCGAAGGCGGCAUCCUGGACCAACACUGACGCUGAGGAGCGAAAGCCAGGGGAGCAAACGGG